Molecule: ribosomal RNA, 253 nt
Filed under: uncultured bacterium
Lineage: Bacteria
Description: partial 16S ribosomal RNA
Rfam family: Bacterial small subunit ribosomal RNA
Source: RNAcentral
UACGGAGGGGGCUAGCGUUGUUCGGAAUUACUGGGCGUAAAGAGCGCGUAGGCGGUUUAUCAAGUUGGAAGUGAAAGCCCGAGGCUUAACUUCGGAAUUGCUUUCAAGACUGGUUGACUAGAGAGUGGUAGAGGAUGGUGGAAUUCCUAGUGUAGAGGUGAAAUUCGUAGAUAUUAGGAGGAACACCGGUGGCGAAGGCGGCCAUCUGGGCCAUUUCUGACGCUGAGGCGCGAAAGCGUGGGGAGCAAACAGG